RNAcentral lists this ribosomal RNA (1410 nucleotides) under Enterococcus mundtii. RNAcentral describes it as "16S ribosomal RNA". It matches the Rfam family "Bacterial small subunit ribosomal RNA". Lineage: Bacteria; Bacillati; Bacillota; Bacilli; Lactobacillales; Enterococcaceae. The record is from RNAcentral.
GGAGCUUGCUCCACCGGAAAAAGAGGAGUGGCGAACGGGUGAGUAACACGUGGGUAACCUGCCCAUCAGAAGGGGAUAACACUUGGAAACAGGUGCUAAUACCGUAUAACAAUCGAAACCGCAUGGUUUUGAUUUGAAAGGCGCUUUACGGUGCCGCUGAUGGAUGGACCCGCGGUGCAUUAGCUAGUUGGUGAGGUAACGGCUCACCAAGGCCACGAUGCAUAGCCGACCUGAGAGGGUGAUCGGCCACAUUGGGACUGAGACACGGCCCAAACUCCUACGGGAGGCAGCAGUAGGGAAUCUUCGGCAAUGGACGAAAGUCUGACCGAGCAACGCCGCGUGAGUGAAGAAGGUUUUCGGAUCGUAAAACUCUGUUGUUAGAGAAGAACAAGGAUGAGAGUAACUGUUCAUCCCUUGACGGUAUCUAACCAGAAAGCCACGGCUAACUACGUGCCAGCAGCCGCGGUAAUACGUAGGUGGCAAGCGUUGUCCGGAUUUAUUGGGCGUAAAGCGAGCGCAGGCGGUUUCUUAAGUCUGAUGUGAAAGCCCCCGGCUCAACCGGGGAGGGUCAUUGGAAACUGGGAGACUUGAGUGCAGAAGAGGAGAGUGGAAUUCCAUGUGUAGCGGUGAAAUGCGUAGAUAUAUGGAGGAACACCAGUGGCGAAGGCGGCUCUCUGGUCUGUAACUGACGCUGAGGCUCGAAAGCGUGGGGAGCAAACAGGAUUAGAUACCCUGGUAGUCCACGCCGUAAACGAUGAGUGCUAAGUGUUGGAGGGUUUCCGCCCUUCAGUGCUGCAGCUAACGCAUUAAGCACUCCGCCUGGGGAGUACGACCGCAAGGUUGAAACUCAAAGGAAUUGACGGGGGCCCGCACAAGCGGUGGAGCAUGUGGUUUAAUUCGAAGCAACGCGAAGAACCUUACCAGGUCUUGACAUCCUUUGACCACUCUAGAGAUAGAGCUUCCCCUUCGGGGGCAAAGUGACAGGUGGUGCAUGGUUGUCGUCAGCUCGUGUCGUGAGAUGUUGGGUUAAGUCCCGCAACGAGCGCAACCCUUAUUGUUAGUUGCCAUCAUUUAGUUGGGCACUCUAGCAAGACUGCCGGUGACAAACCGGAGGAAGGUGGGGAUGACGUCAAAUCAUCAUGCCCCUUAUGACCUGGGCUACACACGUGCUACAAUGGGAAGUACAACGAGUCGCGAAGUCGCGAGGCUAAGCUAAUCUCUUAAAGCUUCUCUCAGUUCGGAUUGUAGGCUGCAACUCGCCUACAUGAAGCCGGAAUCGCUAGUAAUCGCGGAUCAGCACGCCGCGGUGAAUACGUUCCCGGGCCUUGUACACACCGCCCGUCACACCACGAGAGUUUGUAACACCCGAAGUCGGUGAGGUAACCUUUUUGGAGCCAGCCGCCUAAGGUG